RNAcentral lists this ribosomal RNA (483 nucleotides) under uncultured bacterium. RNAcentral describes it as "partial 16S ribosomal RNA". It matches the Rfam family "Bacterial small subunit ribosomal RNA", at positions 28 to 507 of the family's 1533-position model. The record is from RNAcentral.
GACGAACGCUGGCGGCGUGCUUAACACAUGCAAGUCGAACGCUGAAGCUCAGCUUUUGUUGGGUGGAUGAGUGGCGAACGGGUGAGUAACACGUGAGUAACCUGCCUCCUUCUUUGGGAUAACGCCCGGAAACGGGUGCUAAUACUGGAUAUUCACUGGUCUUCGCAUGGGGGUUGGUGGAAAGGGUUUUUCUGGUGGGGGAUGGGCUCGCGGCCUAUCAGCUUGUUGGUGGGGUGAUGGCCUACCAAGGCUUUGACGGGUAGCCAGCCUGAGAGGGUGACCGGUCACAUUGGGACUGAGAUACGGCCCAGACUCCUACGGGAGGCAGCAGUGGGGAAUAUUGCACAAUGGGCGCAAGCCUGAUGCAGCGACGCCGCGUGAGGGAUGGAGGCCUUCGGGUUGUGAACCUCUUUCGCUCAUGGUCAAGCCGCAACAAUGGUUGUGGUGAGGGUAGUGGGUAAAGAAGCGCCGGCUAACUACGUG